GCCCUCGGCUUUCCGCCAUGACACUGGAGGCAAAGGCCUGAGAGGACCGGCCUGCGGGGAGGAGGGAAGAGUCGCCCCCUCCGGUUCUGAUGCGUCUUACGCGAGGCCGCGGCUCUGCACCUGCUGGAGCUUGCCUUGGGAGAUGAGGCGCUGCGUCCCCAGGGCGGGGAGGCACAACGGGGCGUGCUCAGGUGGGAGAGGCAAAUCCCUCUCCACAGCCGUGAAGAGGAAAUUAUUGGUUCAGCCAUGAAGCAGCCUAGGGAAACCCAACCAAGUAACCACAUCCUUUGCAUUAAGGAGAAAACACUUGAGAAUCGCUGCUCUGUGGUAUAGCAUCAAAGAUACUAGAGUAACUCAGCCAAGGGUCAGGCAGUUUCUGGCAUGGUGGCUUUGAAGGGUGCUCCUUCCACACCUGCAGAAAAUCUGACCGUGAUGAAGAGAAGAAAGAAGUAGAAAGAGUAGGGAGGACAUGUUCAGCAAGAUCCUGCAAGGCAGUGCUGCAUUGGACCAUGAAUGAAGGGCCUAGAGGGCGAAUAUGUCAAGAACAUGAAAAAGGAAAGACAGACAGAAGAAAGGCCCAGGAGUCCCAAUAAAACAAGGAGAGGACAUGCAUUAGGACACAAUGGGUCUUCUCAUGCAGCAAACCCAAAAGCUGCAAGUCCUGGCUGACCUGCAGGUCCAAAAAUUCCAGACUCCCCACGCUUUGCAGUCCUUGGAGAAUUCCAUGGUCACUUCUUCCUCCUCACCCCCAACAUACCAUGUGGCAUCAUGGGCUGCAUCCUUACCCCUACCACUCCAUGCUGGGGGACAGCAAGGAAAAUCACAACUUCAUAUACACUGACCUGUGAAAACCACGGCGGGUGUAUGUGUAGCCAUAAUGGACUACAUUUAUGCACUGAAAUGUCCACCUCUACCUAGUUCCUAGGGCUCAAGGCGUAACCCAGUUAAUCUAGGCACACCCACCCUUUCCCAGUUCCUAGGACUCCAGGUGAAAGGCACCUCACUUUACCCAAAGAACUUCCUUUUGGACCCCAGUUUAUAUACCUUAACAAAGCUAAAACUAUAAAGAAAUAAGGAUUUCACAAACACAACUGUGAUAAGUGAUUUUUUUGUCUGUUACAUAAUUAAUUUUGCUAGGUAUAAAUCAAUUAAGGUGGUGGGGUCUGACUGGCUAGAAAAUUUUGUUACAAUAUGUUAGGAUUAGACAGAAACAAUCAAAGAACCAGACAGAGAUCAUACAGACAAACAAUAGGAAAGUGGGGACCAGAAAGAUAAAACAAUAAAUGAGGAUUUCACAACCACAACUGUGAUAAGUGAUUUUUUUGCCAGACAGAAAGCUAUCAAACUAAGUUUUCUUU
Malaclemys terrapin pileata is the source of this 1358-nucleotide long non-coding RNA. RefSeq lists it as uncharacterized. The record is from RefSeq and is a predicted model, not a curated record. The transcript has 3 exons. Lineage: Eukaryota; Metazoa; Chordata; Testudines; Emydidae.